UACGUAGGGGGCUAGCGUUGUCCGGAAUCAUUGGGCGUAAAGCGCGCGUAGGCGGCCCGGUAAGUCCGCUGUGAAAGUCCAGGGCUCAACCCUGGAAAGCCGGUGGAUACUGCCGGGCUAGAGUCCGGAAGAGGAGAAUGGAAUUCCCGGUGUAGCGGUGAAAUGCGCAGAUAUCGGGAAGAACACCCGUGGCGAAGGCGGUUCUCUGGGACGGUACUGACGCUGAGACGCGAAAGCGUGGGGAGCGAACAGG
This 253-nucleotide ribosomal RNA is filed under the name uncultured bacterium. Its description in RNAcentral is "partial 16S ribosomal RNA". It matches the Rfam family "Bacterial small subunit ribosomal RNA", at positions 524 to 776 of the family's 1533-position model. The record is from RNAcentral.